UCCUCAGUAGCUCAGUGGUAGAGCGGUCGGCUGUUAACUGACUGGUGGUAGGUUCGAAUCCUACUUGGGGAG
Molecule: non-coding RNA, 72 nt
Filed under: Hordeum vulgare subsp. vulgare (domesticated barley)
Lineage: Eukaryota; Viridiplantae; Streptophyta; Magnoliopsida; Poales; Poaceae
Description: tRNA
Rfam family: tRNA
About the family: Transfer RNA (tRNA) molecules are approximately 80 nucleotides in length. Their secondary structure includes four short double-helical elements and three loops (D, anti-codon, and T loops).
Source: Rfam by way of RNAcentral